Molecule: ribosomal RNA, 613 nt
Filed under: uncultured bacterium
Lineage: Bacteria
Description: bacterial SSU rRNA
Rfam family: Bacterial small subunit ribosomal RNA
Source: RNAcentral
CCUACGGGAGGCAGCAGUGAGGAAUAUUGGACAAUGGGCGCAAGCCUGAUCCAGCCAUGCCGCGUGCAGGAAGAAGCAUCUAUGGUGUGUAAACUGCUUUUGUACAGGAAGAAACACUCCCUCGUGAGGGAGCUUGACGGUACUGUAAGAAUAAGGACCGGCUAACUCCGUGCCAGCAGCCGCGGUAAUACGGAGGGUCCGAGCGUUAUCCGGAAUCAUUGGGUUUAAAGGGUCCGUAGGCGGUUUAAUAAGUCAGUGGUGAAAUCUGGUCGCUCAACGAUCAAACGGCCAUUGAUACUGUUAGACUUGAAUUAUAAGGAAGUAACUAGAAUAUGUAGUGUAGCGGUGAAAUGCUUAGAUAUUACAUGGAAUACCAAUUGCGAAGGCAGGUUACUACUUAUGGAUUGACGCUGAUGGACGAAAGCGUGGGGAGCGAACAGGAUUAGAUACCCUGGUAGUCCACGCCGUAAACGAUAGGAUACUAGCUGUUCGGAGCAAUCUGAGUGGCUAAGCGAAAAGUGAUAAGUAUCCCACCUGGGGAGUACGUUCGCAAGAAUGAAACUUAAAGAGUAGUGACGNGNGAGAGCGACGACGACGACGACGGAGGAGGAGG